UUUUGACCUCGGAUCAGGUAGGGAUACCCGCUGAACUUAAGCAU
RNAcentral lists this ribosomal RNA (44 nucleotides) under Alternaria alternata. Its description in RNAcentral is "partial 28S ribosomal RNA". Lineage: Eukaryota; Fungi; Ascomycota; Dothideomycetes; Pleosporales; Pleosporaceae. RNAcentral also lists the same sequence under 13 other names. The record is from RNAcentral.